AUUGAACGCUGGCGGCAUGCUUUACACAUGCAAGUCGAACGGUAACAGGCCUUCGGGUGCUGACGAGUGGCGAACGGGUGAGUAAUGCAUCGGAACGUACCCAGAGGUGGGGGAUAACGCAGCGAAAGCUGUGCUAAUACCGCAUGUGAUCUGAGGAUGAAAGUGGGGGACCGAGCAGCAAUGUUUGGCCUCGCGCCUUUGGAGCGGCCGAUGUCGGAUUAGCUAGUUGGUGGGGUAAAGGCCUACCAAGGCGACGAUCCGUAGCUGGUCUGAGAGGACGACCAGCCACACUGGGACUGAGACACGGCCCAGACUCCUACGGGAGGCAGCAGUGGGGAAUUUUGGACAAUGGGCGCAAGCCUGAUCCAGCAAUGCCGCGUGCGGGAGGAAGGCCUUCGGGUUGUAAACCGCUUUUGGCAGGAACGAAACGGUGUCCGCUAAUACCGGGCGCUAAUGACGGUACCUGCAGAAUAAGCACCGGCUAACUACGUG
This 492-nucleotide ribosomal RNA is filed under the name uncultured bacterium. RNAcentral describes it as "partial 16S ribosomal RNA". It matches the Rfam family "Bacterial small subunit ribosomal RNA", at positions 29 to 507 of the family's 1533-position model. The record is from RNAcentral.